GUUUUGGGUCUCUGGUAACAGUGAGAGCUUCCAGCAGACCGUGGGAGCAUUAAAAGCAGAAAGAUUCAGGAGCACCGGAGACCCUCCCCCUCAUAAAGCCCGCUGUCAUAAACGCUUCUUGUCAUCGGGUGUUGUGUGGUGGUCCUGAGACGGUUGCCAGGCAACCUGCGCUGCAUUGAUAUGUGAGUUGGAAGGAAUCAGGGAAAGCCUUCUGCCUCCGGAGCAUCAGUGUUGGGCGGUGCGACUCCCACCAAACACGAGCGCGCUCGUCUGUCUGAGAACACACGCUCAAGGCUUCGCAUCUCAAAAGAUUACUUUUGCACUCCAAGGCACUUAACGUCCUAGUUUUGAUCAUCUCUUUAACCUCAGAGAAGCAGAACGAGGAUUGAACACCUGAAGUUUAGGACUGUGAAUCCAAGAAAAGAGCUUAUGGAGUUUGUUAACGUGGCUUUGGCUAAUUAAAAAGAGGUACUGGCAGUAACUGAACCUCCCCUCUCUCAUCUGUUCAUCCACGAAAGAACAAAGAGAGAGAGGGUUUCUCAUGAGGAGCUCAUGACAGCUCAACUCAGGAACAAGUGAGAUGAAACUGGGCAGGAAAACACUGGAGCGCCGCGAGAAACGACACACAUCAGACGCCUGGAAAGCACAGCCUCUCUCAGUCAAUCUGGAACUCCCUCCCAGCUAAAGGAUGAUGGGAUACGACUUCACUCUGAGCUGCCAGGGAUGUUCGUGUGUUUCAGAAAGACGGUCCCGCUCAGCAUGUCUGAUGCUAUGUUCCUCCUGAUGCUGUGCAAGAUUGGUGUGAAAGGAAAACUGCAGACUUCUCCAAGGAAAAUGCUAAACACUGCUCUGAGUGAUGAGGAGAAGGGCAUUCAAGACAAGGAAAGCAAGGAAGAGUCCAUUCUGGCCAUGCUGGGAAUCAUUGGGACCAUCCUCAACCUCGUCGUCAUCAUCUUCGUCUACAUCUACACCACCCUGUGAGAUCCACCGGAGUCCACCGGGACUAUGAUUGGGAGUGAGAUUCUGGCACGGAAAAACCAGGCCGUUCCACCAGGGGAUCAUGGGAAUACAGACACUGCUGCGAUGGAGUCGCACAUCUGAAAGAACAGCUUCCCUUCAAACACAGACUACAUAAGGAACUACGUUAGCUGUAAAUAUGCACGUUUUUUCCGUUUCCGGCAGGCGGCCGUCCCGGAUUCAGAGACACAGGAGCGUUUCUAUGCAUGGCUCAGUCCACAGGACGCUCACAUUCAGACCCAUCGGCGGAUUUUAAUAGUAAACAUGCUGUGACGUUUCUUACAAACUCCUGCAGGCGAAAGUUUCAGGUUUAUACUAUAUUUAAAACACUGCUGUUUACAAUAAAUUGCUUAUUAUUAGACCUGCGCUUGGAAAUAGAUCUUGAAUUUUGUCAUGAGCAUUUUAAUACAUACAUUACACAUGUACAGAAUUCAGUAGUUUGGCUAUAAAACGUCAUUUGGCUAGUUUUGCAGUGCAUUUAAUUGAAUUAAUUAACUAUUUAGUUAUGUUUGUGCGAUGCUUAUUUGCAGAUCUUGUUGGUUUGCAGUUUUAGGACAUGGGGUGAUUUAUUGAAAUGUAAUUUUCUGCAAUGACGUUUCUUAUGUACUGUAUGUUCAUUUUAAACAUAGAACUGUUUCCCAUUGUUUUGAAUGAGAGAAAUCUUUGUUUACUCAAACAGACAGACUGUUUAUUAUACGUACAGACAGUGUUGCCUUAAGAAUGAUCGACACAUUCAUAUCUGCAUCAUUUCAGCAAAUAUUUAGUUGCUUAUCAAUGCACAGAAGCAUAAAAGGCAGCAAAAGCAUAUUAUUUGAUGCAAAUAUUUGUUUUUCCCUAAUAAUACCAACAUGUGACUGUACUAAUGUUAAUAAAAGCACAAGAUUAUUUGCAGAAUGAAUGAAUGUACUUUAUGCGAGUACAGUAAAUUUCUGAUAAUGCGACAAAGCAUAUUAAAUCUAGUAAUCAGUGCAUAAAGUGCCUGUGUUUCUGCAAGAUAACUCUGUUUCAGUAACCUCACUGUAUGUUAUAAAUAUGACGAGUCUAAUAGUCUUAAUAACGGUGGUUUUCCAACCUCUCAGCUUCUGUUUUGAAAAAUCAACACAGUUUAUAAUGACAGCAGGAGAUGAGAAUGACGUUUUAUUGCUGAUCAUCAGAUUUUAAAGAGCAUAUUCAUUGUCAGACUCUCUUGGUUGUGGAAAUCAUGUUAUCAUGUUAAUACUGAAUUUUAGUUGACUUUAAUUCCAUAUCUGUGGGGACAGAGUGAAUCAGUAUUACAGUAAUACUCAUUUGUACAUGUGCAAUCUUGUCUAAAAGUCUUUUAUGUAUUUAAAUAUGUAAUAUUGCUACUGCUGAUUUAGUAAAGAUAAAAUUAUUGAAAAAUGUUCUUAAGUAUAUUGACUUUGAAUAGACAAAGACCAUCUGAUUUUAUUCAACUUUUUCUGUAAAUCCACUGUAUAUACGGAUUGGCUGUAGCUUACUGCAUUUUGUGUAAUUAUGGGAUGGACGUUAUGCGCAGUUGCCUAGCGACAAGUAACUUAUAGAGCAGUUUCCAAAAGUUGAGCCUUGCUGCCCUGUUUGAGCUCAAGGACUCGACUUCUGAACGUUUAAAUGCAAAAAUGAAGUCAUUAAAGUUGUGUGACUUAUGUCAAAUCUAUCUAAUUUAAAGAAUGGACCACAACAAACCACUUUAUUUCAUACGUGUGUCAAUUAGGGGUUUUUAAAAGUGUGCUAGAUUAAAGGCGAGAGAUCUGAAACACAGCUGAAGGUCUCUCAAGAAGUGAA
Long non-coding RNA from Cyprinus carpio carpio, 2799 nucleotides. The record is from Ensembl. NCBI's taxonomy places the organism in Eukaryota, Metazoa, Chordata, Actinopteri, Cypriniformes, Cyprinidae.